GACGAACGCUGGCGGCGUGCCUAAUACAUGCAAGUUGAGCGCUGAAGGUUGGUACUUGUACCAACUGGAUGAGCAGCGAACGGGUGAGUAACGCGUGGGGAAUCUGCCUUUGAGCGGGGGACAACAUUUGGAAACGAAUGCUAAUACCGCAUAAAAACUUUAAACACAAGUUUUAAGUUUGAAAGAUGCAAUUGCAUCACUCAAAGAUGAUCCCGCGUUGUAUUAGCUAGUUGGUGAGGUAAAGGCUCACCAAGGCGAUGAUACAUAGCCGACCUGAGAGGGUGAUCGGCCACAUUGGGACUGAGACACGGCCCAAACUCCUACGGGAGGCAGCAGUAGGGAAUCUUCGGCAAUGGACGAAAGUCUGACCGAGCAACGCCGCGUGAGUGAAGAAGGUUUUCGGAUCGUAAAACUCUGUUGGUAGAUAAGAACGUUGGUGAGAGUGGAAAGCUCAUCAAGUGACGGUAACUACCCAGAAAGGGACGGCUAACUACGUG
This 497-nucleotide ribosomal RNA is filed under the name uncultured bacterium. Its description in RNAcentral is "partial 16S ribosomal RNA". It matches the Rfam family "Bacterial small subunit ribosomal RNA", at positions 28 to 507 of the family's 1533-position model. The record is from RNAcentral.